UACGUAGGUGGCGAGCGUUGUCCGGAUUUAUUGGGCGUAAAGCGAGCGCAGGUGGUUUAUUAAGUCUGGUGUAAAAGGCAGUGGCUCAACCAUUGUAUGCAUUGGAAACUGGUAGACUUAAGUGCAGGAGAGGAGAGUGGAAUUCCAUGUGUAGCGGUGAAAUGCGUAGAUAUAUGGAGGAACACCGGUGGCGAAAGCGGCUCUCUGGCCUGUAACUGACACUGAGGCUCGAAAGCGUGGGGAGCAAACAGG
Molecule: ribosomal RNA, 252 nt
Filed under: uncultured bacterium
Lineage: Bacteria
Description: partial 16S ribosomal RNA
Rfam family: Bacterial small subunit ribosomal RNA
Source: RNAcentral